CCUCUCCCUGCUCCACUGGAAGGUGUCAGGGAAAGCCGAGGGAGGCAGGGCUUUAAUUUCCAUCUGUCGGCAAUGAAGUCUCCCCUCCACAGUGUCACUGGAGACUAGGUGAGGGUUCUAGAAUUCCAUCACCAUGGAGCAGUAACAGCCGUGUCUCCUAGUGGAGAGUCAGGACCUCCACUACUGCACAGCAGUAACUAGGCCCCACUUCCUUCACCCACACGGUGUUACUGGAGGCCCUCCUACCCCAACCAGGCAGGGAUACAUCAGUGAAGCCUAGUGGGGACAUGAGCGCCCAUCUCCAGCUAGGAGUAACAAGGAGCCUCUACCCUUUGACUGUCAGCAGGGCCCAAGUGGGGAACCCGGACUUCUACCUCCACUGGGCAACACUGAGGCAGCAUCCCAAUCUUCUCCUGCUGGAGUGGUGUCAAAAGAAAACCAGCUAAAACAGAAGUCUAAGUAAGACCCAGAGUCAUACAGCAUAACAUCCAAAAUGUCCAGGUUUCAACUGAGAAUCACUCAACAUCCCAAGAACCAAGACGACCUCAAACUGAAUGAAUAAAAGACAAUUAUGAUUAAAGGCACAGCAGGGAACUAAAACAUUCAUCUUGCCAACAGGGUUAGGUAACUGGGCAGCAGCUGAUUAGCUACCAUAGUUGGACUACUGCUGGGCACUAGAAGUCAGAAACAGCUCCUUAGAAGACAUGCCAACAUAGUUGCUCCCUCCCUCAUCAAACUUGUCAUUAAGGCUUCAUUAAUUUCCUCUCCAUUCCUGGAGUGGGAUGGUUGAAUCAGAGUGGGACUGUGUGUGUCUGGAAGUGACCUCAACUCAAUCAACUAGGAAACUUCUAGGGCAGGGCAACCUAUUCCAGUCCUAGUUCUUGUAGUAAUUUGACCAUAGUGAAUCCACAACGGGGUUCAUUUAAUACUCCAAAACUCAUGGUUUGACCACAGUUUUAUUUUGGUGGUGACGAAACUACCCCCACCUCCGGGAGAUGAACUGACAAUACCUCUGGGCAUCCUAAGCAUGUUCUGGAUAAAACAACAGUCACCCUCAAGGAGAUAAUACCAUACAGGACAGCUGGGAGGCUGAUACUCAUGUACGCAGCAGAUACAGUAUGACGUAGGCACCAUCAAGGACAAGCAAGGCAUCAGACUUGUUGAUCUGCCUGGUGCUUAUCUGAGGAGGAGACAGAUGGCAGAUGGAAACAGAAGUAUCGAGGCAGCCUGUUUCUCACCAUUUGGCAGGGCAAGGAUGCACGCGCUUUCUGUGGGUCAAGUGAUGUUACAGAGAGCUGUCAGGUUUGUGUCUUUUGGCUGCUGCUCCACCCCAAAGGAAACAAUGCUGGCCAGAGAAGCAGCAUCAGAAGAUGAAGAAGGCAGAGGAGUGAAAGAGAAUGGAACUUGUCCCUUUCCCCCUGCAGGCCUCUCAAGUGAGCUGACGAGGGGAAGAAAAGAUGAAGUAAGUUCUGCUUUGUUGUCUGAUUUGCUUUCUUACACUACAGAGUAUGGUGGAAUCACACAGUGUGUACUUUUCUGUGUCUCCAUUUUUGCUCGGUGUGUCUUUGCGAUUCGUCCACCCUGUUGUGUGUCUGUAGUUCAUUUCUAUCCACUGCUGAGCAGCAUUUCACUGCAUGAACAUACCACGUUUGUUUAUUCACGCACUUGCUGUGGCAGUCAGCCCUCAGGAUGGCUGCAAGGAUCUCUGUCUCCAGGUGUUUGCAACAUUGUGCUGCCCCCUCCCAUAGGACAUAAGGGCUGGUCUGUGCGAUCAACAGACUAAGGCGGAGGUGAUGGUAUGUCACUUCUGAGGUUAGGUUAUGGAAGACACUGCAAAUUCUGUUUUGGUUGUUCUCUUCCUUUCUUGGGUCACUUGUUCUGGAGAAGCUGGCCCUCGUGUCCUAAGUAACCCUACAGAGGAGUCUGUAUGGCAGAGAGCCAAAUCAUCUCUGGAGAGAAAACAGGGACCCUGCUCCAGGGGAAGAUGGUGGUGUUAAGGUUCCAGAUGUCACUCCCUGGCCACGAGGACUGCGGGACCAUCCUCACAGUUUACAACAUUCCGCAUGACAUCCAGGGACCCGAGCACCCCAACCCUGGAAAGCCAUUUACUGCCAGAGGGUUUCCCUGCCAGUGUUACCAUCCAGACAACAUCCAGGGCCACAAGGUCCUGGAGCUCCCGAAGGUGCCCUAGAAAAGGUGGCUCAUCUUCACAGUGGGCACGUCCAGUACCAUGGGUGAUAGCGAUACUGUGGUGUGGAAUGAGAUCUACCACAAGACAGAGAUGGACUGCAACACGACAGGCCACGGCUACCCCAACCCCAACUACCUGCAGAAUGUGCUGGUCGAGUUGGCCUCCCAGAGGGUGACCGAGGACUGCCCGAAGCAGCCGUGACCUCUUGCCCUGGCACGCUGCCUCUGGUGGCCACCCUGCUGUCCCAUGGCUGGCUGGGUGGGCAGGCAGGA
Macaca mulatta (Rhesus monkey) is the source of this 2463-nucleotide non-coding RNA. The record is from RefSeq and is a predicted model, not a curated record. Lineage: Eukaryota; Metazoa; Chordata; Mammalia; Primates; Cercopithecidae.